UGUGAAAAACUUUAUCAAUUUCUACUGGUAGAAACUGGUAUGACUAAUAAAAUAAUCAGACAGUUACACGUGGUGUGUCGUAUGUACCUUAUUUUGAUAUACAGGGACUAAUUUUUAACAGUAGAAAUGGAUAGAAUUUUUUAACA
Non-coding RNA from Gossypium arboreum, 146 nucleotides. The record is from Rfam. Lineage: Eukaryota; Viridiplantae; Streptophyta; Magnoliopsida; Malvales; Malvaceae.